Molecule: long non-coding RNA, 752 nt
Filed under: Capsicum annuum
Lineage: Eukaryota; Viridiplantae; Streptophyta; Magnoliopsida; Solanales; Solanaceae
Description: long non-coding RNA (CANN_LNC010454)
Source: RNAcentral
GAAAAUAUACUCACAUCAACAUAGAGGAGAAAAACACAUAAAAUACACACUAGAAAAAGGGUAUACUUCACACAUAUCCCAUCUUCUCCAUAUAGGCCACCAUAUUCACACACAAAAUACAAUUCAGAUAGAGAAAGCUACGAAUACACAUACACUACACACACAGACACAGAAAAGAGAGAGGAGAAGCUCACUAGAACAUAGGGGAAAAGGGGAAAACACAUACAAAAUACUCUAAAAGAUCAUCACCAUGGACUGAAUACAAACCCACUCUUAUAUUCUCACCGACCUUCAACUCACAAGAUACUCCUAAUUUCCAUUUAGAACACUAUACACACAAUAAUCUACACAUGAAAGAAGCUUAUAGGAGUUGAGGGAAAUAAAGAGGGUGAUCGAUGAUUAGAAAAGAAGAGGGAGGGUGAGAAAGGGAUCGAUAGGGUCAAAAAUUUGGCUUGUUUUGCUUCGAUUUCCUCCAUCUCCAAACUCGCCAAAGCUCCGACAAUACAAAAAGGUGAUCCCAAGAUACAUCGCUAAAACCCAUUGUAAAGCGGUCAAAAACCGAUGACCCAAAUUCGUCACCACCGCAAUCUAUAUCCAUUUGAGCUUUCCAGUCGAUUGAAGAAUCUGUCAUAAUUAUUUUCUUAUUAUAAAAUUGUUUGUUUGAUACUUGGUAUCAAGUUUAGUGAAAUAGAGUUUGAGGUCGAGGUUUACUCAAAUUCAAUCUCGAUUCAAGGUAUUCCGGCCAUGCUUCG